GAGGGUGUAGCUCAGUGGUAGAGCACAUGCUUAGCAUGCACAAGGUCCUGGGUUCAAUCCCCGGUAUCACCA
RNAcentral lists this transfer RNA (72 nucleotides) under Camelus bactrianus (Bactrian camel). It matches the Rfam family "tRNA". Rfam says of the family: Transfer RNA (tRNA) molecules are approximately 80 nucleotides in length. Their secondary structure includes four short double-helical elements and three loops (D, anti-codon, and T loops). The record is from Rfam by way of RNAcentral. Lineage: Eukaryota; Metazoa; Chordata; Mammalia; Artiodactyla; Camelidae. RNAcentral also lists the same sequence under 2 other names.